CGCGUGCGGCCCAGCUCCUCCCUCACGGUGGCCUGUUGAUGCCCAACUCAUGCCUCUGGCACCCUGCCCAGAGGCGUGAGCCCCUGCCUCACACUGGCUCCUCCCACGCUGAGAGAGGUCAGUGUGAGCCCUUGCCUCACACCGGCCCCUCCCACGCGGACAGAGGUCAGCGUGAGCCCCUUGCCUCACCCCGGCCCCUCCCACGCUGAGAGAGGUCAGUGUGAGCCCUUGCCUCACACCGGCCCCUCCCACGCGGACAGAGGUCAGCGUGAGCCCCUUGCCUCACACCGGCCCCUCCCACGCUGAGAGAGGUCAGUGUGAGCCCUUGCCUCACACCGGCCCCUCCCACGCGGACAGAGGUCAGCGUGACCCCCUGCCUCAACAGGCCACCGUGAGGGAGGAACAGGAUCGCACUCGGGCUGCUGGGAGGUAGGCAGGGACUUGGGCCU
RNAcentral lists this long non-coding RNA (449 nucleotides) under Homo sapiens (human). Its description in RNAcentral is "long intergenic non-protein coding RNA 1002". The record is from RNAcentral. Lineage: Eukaryota; Metazoa; Chordata; Mammalia; Primates; Hominidae.